RNAcentral lists this unclassified non-coding RNA (885 nucleotides) under Candidatus Liberibacter americanus. Its description in RNAcentral is "partial contains 16S ribosomal RNA, 16S-23S ribosomal RNA intergenic spacer, and 23S ribosomal RNA". The stretch from base 1 to 290 matches the Rfam family "Bacterial small subunit ribosomal RNA", at positions 1243 to 1533 of the family's 1533-position model. Lineage: Bacteria; Pseudomonadati; Pseudomonadota; Alphaproteobacteria; Hyphomicrobiales; Rhizobiaceae. The record is from RNAcentral.
UGGGUUGCGAAGUCGCGAGGCGGAGCUAAUCCCUAAAAGCCAUCUCAGUUCGGAUUGCACUCUACAACUCGAGUGCAUGAAGUUGGAAUCGCUAGUAAUCGCGGAUCAGCAUGCCGCGGUGAAUACGUUCUCGGGCCUUGUACACACCGCCCGUCACACCAUGGGAGUUGGUUUUGCCUGAAGACGGUGAGCUAACCGUAAGGAGGCAGCCGGCCACGGUAGGGUCAGCGACUGGGGUGAAGUCGUAACAAGGUAGCCGUAGGGGAACCUGCGGCUGGAUCACCUCCUUUCUAAGGAAGAUGUUUAUUAUUAUUAGAUUAAUUUGAUGAUAUUAGCAUUUUUUAAAGAUAGAGCGUUAAGCUCAAGAUAUGAUCUGUUAUUUAUUAAUGACAGUUUUUUAUGCCGCCGUCCAAGUUUCUCUUUCUUUUCCCAUGUUUUUGCGAAUGAUGGGGUCGUUUAUUAUUAAAUAGGGCCCAUAGCUCAGGCGGUUAGAGUGCACCCCUGAUAAGGGUGAGGUCGGUAGUUCGAGUCUACCUGGGCCCACCACCCAUUUUUAGGGGCCGUAGCUCAGCUGGUAGAGCGCCUGCUUUGCAAGCAGGAUGUCAGCGGUUCGAUUCCGCUCGGCUCCACCAUUUGCAAUUAUUAAUAUUUUUUUGUUUUAAUACAUAAGAUAUAUUAAAAUUGAAUAGAAGAUAGAUUUUUUUGUAUUAUAGAUGAUUGCAUUGUAUGCGAGCAUUUAUAUUACCGACGUUAGAUAACCGGACGUUGAUAAUUUAUCUCAGGAAUAGGUCUUGAAGAAGCAUUGUUAUAGAGAUGAUGUUUUUUUGAUUGAUUUUAAGUUAUAAUGAUAAUUAUGACUAUUGACAAUGAGAGUGAUCAAGCGCG